AAGUUGAAAAUGUAGUAAGCCUCAUAGCAUGAUGGAUAAAUCUACCAUUCAAGUGAAAAAUUGAACAGAUUCAAACAGAAAACAGCCACACUGACUAAAUGAGCAUUCUAGUAUUCUACUAUAAUUAAAUGAGCAUCGCUAAGCUACACAAACAUAUAAGAACAUGGGCAUGCCUUGUUCACCAUUUGGCACAAUAUGAACUACUAAUAUCUGGAAGUAAUAGGGUAUUCAAAUUACGAAGCAGCUUUAAAAAAAUGGUUAUUUCAGGACAGAACAUAGAACCUAAAAGGAUUUGCCUUGGACAAGCAAACUGUAAACAUAUUAGCAUUUCUGCAACUAUGCCUCAAGCUGCAAACAAUAAGAUCAGGAACUAUAUAGCAACUCCGUAACAUCCAAGCCUACAAGUGCCAAAUGCCUAAACAAGUCUAAUUACAGAAUCAGUUGUUUUGUAAAUCAAUAUGUUAUUCAACAAGGUAAAUUACACUCACUCACACACACACACAAAGACAGAAGUAAAAAUUUUCUUAACCAAAAAAAAUUAGAAUACAAAUUUAUCUUUGGGAGAGAGAGAGA
This 573-nucleotide unclassified non-coding RNA is filed under the name Hevea brasiliensis (rubber tree). Lineage: Eukaryota; Viridiplantae; Streptophyta; Magnoliopsida; Malpighiales; Euphorbiaceae. The record is from RNAcentral.